GAGAGAGAGAGAGAGAGAGCAAAAGGGUAAGGCAAGAAAAUUUUUAGCAUUUUCAGAGAGGAAUUCCAAGUAUCCAUUUUAUUCUCAUGGGAUCAUUUAAUUAAGAGUGUUUAUUAAUCCACUCUUGUGAAAGUGAGUUGUGAUUGACUUUGGAUUGUGAAACCAUUAGAUGAUAGUAGCAAUUAAAUUUUUCAGAAUUUGAUUUUAAAUAUGACUUAGAAGCAUU
Molecule: unclassified non-coding RNA, 226 nt
Filed under: Hevea brasiliensis (rubber tree)
Lineage: Eukaryota; Viridiplantae; Streptophyta; Magnoliopsida; Malpighiales; Euphorbiaceae
Source: RNAcentral